RNAcentral lists this ribosomal RNA (497 nucleotides) under uncultured bacterium. Its description in RNAcentral is "partial 16S ribosomal RNA". It matches the Rfam family "Bacterial small subunit ribosomal RNA", at positions 28 to 508 of the family's 1533-position model. The record is from RNAcentral.
GAUGAACGCUGGCGGCGUGCCUAAUACAUGCAAGUCGAGCGAACAGAUGAGGAGCUUGCUCCUCUGACGUUAGCGGCGGACGGGUGAGUAACACGUGGAUAACCUACCUAUAAGACUGGGAUAACUUCGGGAAACCGGAGCUAAUACCGGAUAAUAUAUUGAACCGCAUGGUUCAAUAGUGAAAGACGGUUUUGCUGUCACUUAUAGAUGGAUCCGCGCCGCAUUAGCUAGUUGGUAAGGUAACGGCUUACCAAGGCAACGAUGCGUACCCGACCUGAGAGGUGGGCCGCCAACAGGAGAACAGGGACACGGUCAAGCCUCCUGCGGGAGGAAGCAGGGGGGAUUCUUCGACAAGGGCGGAGAGCCGGACGGAGCAACCCGGCGGGAGGAAUAAAGGUUUUGGGAUCUAAAAACUUUUUUAUAGGGGAAAAAAAAGUGGUAACUAAAAUUUCCCCGUCUGGAGGGUCCCUAAGAAAAAGCCCACGCCAAACUAGGGC